RNAcentral lists this ribosomal RNA (446 nucleotides) under Escherichia coli. Its description in RNAcentral is "partial 23S ribosomal RNA". It matches the Rfam family "Bacterial large subunit ribosomal RNA", at positions 2355 to 2800 of the family's 2925-position model. The record is from RNAcentral. Lineage: Bacteria; Pseudomonadati; Pseudomonadota; Gammaproteobacteria; Enterobacterales; Enterobacteriaceae.
UGGCAUAAGCCAGCUUGACUGCGAGCGUGACGGCGCGAGCAGGUGCGAAAGCAGGUCAUAGUGAUCCGGUGGUUCUGAAUGGAAGGGCCAUCGCUCAACGGAUAAAAGGUACUCCGGGGAUAACAGGCUGAUACCGCCCAAGAGUUCAUAUCGACGGCGGUGUUUGGCACCUCGAUGUCGGCUCAUCACAUCCUGGGGCUGAAGUAGGUCCCAAGGGUAUGGCUGUUCGCCAUUUAAAGUGGUACGCGAGCUGGGUUUAGAACGUCGUGAGACAGUUCGGUCCCUAUCUGCCGUGGGCGCUGGAGAACUGAGGGGGGCUGCUCCUAGUACGAGAGGACCGGAGUGGACGCAUCACUGGUGUUCGGGUUGUCAUGCCAAUGGCACUGCCCGGUAGCUAAAUGCGGAAGAGAUAAGUGCUGAAAGCAUCUAAGCACGAAACUUGCCCC